GUUAGGAAUAUUGGACAAUGGGCGCAAGCCUGAUCCAGCCAUGCCGCGUGUGUGAAGAAGGUCUUCGGAUUGUAAAGCACUUUAAGUUGGGAGGAAGGGCAGUAAGUUAAUACCUUGCUGUUUUGACGUUACCGACAGAAUAAGCACCGGCUAACUUCGUGCCAGCAGCCGCGGUAAUACGAAGGGUGCAAGCGUUAAUCGGAAUUACUGGGCGUAAAGCGCGCGUAGGUGGUUUUGUAAGUUGGAGGUGAAAUCCCCGGGCUCAACCUGGGAACUGCCUCCAAAACUGCAUGACUAGAGUACGGUAGAGGGUAGUGGAAUUUCCUGUGUAGCGGUGAAAUGCGUAGAUAUAGGAAGGAACACCAGUGGCGAAGGCGACUACCUGGACUGAUACUGACACUGAGGUGCGAAAGCGUGGGGAGCAAACAGGAUUAGAAACCCUUGUAGUCC
This 450-nucleotide ribosomal RNA is filed under the name uncultured bacterium. RNAcentral's name for it is "partial 16S ribosomal RNA". It matches the Rfam family "Bacterial small subunit ribosomal RNA", at positions 354 to 796 of the family's 1533-position model. The record is from RNAcentral.